CCUACGGGAGGCUGCAGUGAGGAAUAUUGGUCAAUGGCCGAGAGGCUGAACCAGCCAAGUCGCGUGAGGGAAGACGGCCCUACGGGUUGUAAACCUCUUUUGUCGGGGAGCAAAGCGAACCACGUGUGGUUCAUUGAGAGUACCCGAAGAAAAAGCAUCGGCUAACUCCGUGCCAGCAGCCGCGGUAAUACGGAGGAUGCGAGCGUUAUCCGGAUUUAUUGGGUUUAAAGGGUGCGCAGGCGGAGGUGCAAGUCAGCGGUAAAAUUGCGGGGCUCAACCCCGUACUGCCGUUGAAACUGCAUCCCUUGAGUGCGCGAGAAGUAUGCGGAAUGCGUGGUGUAGCGGUGAAAUGCAUAGAUAUCACGCAGAACUCCGAUUGCGAAGGCAGCAUACCGGCGCCCGACUGACGCUGAGGCACGAAAGCGUGGGGAUCGAACAGGAUUAGAUACCCUUGUAGUC
This 459-nucleotide ribosomal RNA is filed under the name uncultured bacterium. Its description in RNAcentral is "partial 16S ribosomal RNA". It matches the Rfam family "Bacterial small subunit ribosomal RNA", at positions 338 to 795 of the family's 1533-position model. The record is from RNAcentral.